GAAACCAACCGGGAUUGCCUUAGUAACGGCGAGUGAAGCGGCAAAAGCUCAAAUUUGAAAUCUGGCGUCUUCGACGUCCGAGUUGUAAUUUGAAGAAGGCGACUUUGUAGCUGGUCCUUGUCUAUGUUCCUUGGAACAGGACGUCAUAGAGGGUGAGAAUCCCGUGUGGCGAGGAUCCCAGUUAUUUGUAAAGUGCUUUCGACGAGUCGAGUUGUUUGGGAAUGCAGCUCUAAGUGGGUGGUAAAUUCCAUCUAAAGCUAAAUAUUGGCGAGAGACCGAUAGCGAACAAGUACAGUGAUGGAAAGAUGAAAAGAACUUUGAAAAGAGAGUGAAAAAGUACGUGAAAUUGUUGAAAGGGAAGGGCAUUUGAUCAGACAUGGCGUUUGCUUCGGCUUUCGCUGGGCCAGCAUCAGUUUUAGCGGUUGGAUAAAUCCUCGGGAAUGUGGCUCUGCUUCGGUAGAGUGUUAUAG
Molecule: ribosomal RNA, 470 nt
Filed under: Kluyveromyces marxianus
Lineage: Eukaryota; Fungi; Ascomycota; Saccharomycetes; Saccharomycetales; Saccharomycetaceae
Description: LSU rRNA
Rfam family: Eukaryotic large subunit ribosomal RNA
Source: RNAcentral